This 467-nucleotide ribosomal RNA is filed under the name uncultured bacterium. Its description in RNAcentral is "partial 16S ribosomal RNA". It matches the Rfam family "Bacterial small subunit ribosomal RNA", at positions 28 to 507 of the family's 1533-position model. The record is from RNAcentral.
GACGAACGCUGGCGGCGUGCUUAACACAUGCAAGUCGAACGGAAAGUGCCUGCUUUUGUUGGGUGCUCGAGUGGCGAACGUGUGUGUAACACGAGAGUAACCUGCCCUUGACUUUGGGAUAACUUCAGGACACUGGGUCUAAUCCCGGAUAGGAGCUCCUGCUGCAUGGUGGGGGUUGGAAAGUAUCGGCGGUUGGGGAUGGAUUCGCGGCUUAUCAGCUUGUUGGUGGGGUAGUGGCUUACCAAGGCGUUGACGGGUAGCCGGCCUGAGAGGGUGACCGGCCAAUUGGGAACGGGAUACCGGCCAGAAUCCUAAGGGAGGCAGGCGGGGGGAAUAUUGGAACAUGGGAGGAAGACUGAUGCAGAAAAGUUCUGUGCGGGAUGACGGCCUUCGGGUUGUAAAAAGCUUUCGCAUGUGACGAAGAGUGAGUGACGGUAAUGGGUAAAGAAGCAACGGCUAAAUACGUG